GACGAACGCUGGCGGCGUGCUUAACACAUGCAAGUCGAACGGAAAGGCCCUGCUUUUGUGGGGUGCUCGAGUGGCGAACGGGUGAGUAACACGUGAGUAACCUGCCCUUGACUUUGGGAUAACUUCAGGAAACUGGGGCUAAUACCGGAUAGGAGCUCCUGCUGCAUGGUGGGUGUUGGAAAGUUUCGGCGGUUGGGGAUGGACUCGCGGCUUAUCAGCUUGUUGGUGGGGUAGUGGCUUACCAAGGCUUUGACGGGUAGCCGGCCUGAGAGGGUGACCGGCAACAUUGGGACUGAGAUACGGCCCAGACUCCUACGGGAGGCAGCAGUGGGGAAUAUUGCACAAUGGGCGGAAGCCUGAUGCAGCAACGCCGCGUGCGGGAUGACGGCCUUCGGGUUGUAAACCGCUUUCGCCUGUGACGAAGCGUGAGUGACGGUAAUGUGUAAAGAAGCACCGGCUAACUACGUG
This 468-nucleotide ribosomal RNA is filed under the name uncultured bacterium. Its description in RNAcentral is "partial 16S ribosomal RNA". It matches the Rfam family "Bacterial small subunit ribosomal RNA", at positions 28 to 507 of the family's 1533-position model. The record is from RNAcentral.